UUCGUUCCUCCCACGCGUAGCCCCGGAA
RNAcentral lists this small RNA (28 nucleotides) under Bombyx mori (domestic silkworm). RNAcentral's name for it is "ovarian small RNA-37443". Lineage: Eukaryota; Metazoa; Arthropoda; Insecta; Lepidoptera; Bombycidae. The record is from RNAcentral.